CCACAUAACACUCACACACUCACACAUGCACCACAGAACACACACACAAACACACACACAUGCACCACAGAACACACACACACACACACACACACACACACACACACACACACACACACACACAACCUUCUCAACCUUGCAGUUUGCCGUUUCAUUAACACACAGUUUAUAAAUGAUCGUAUAAGAUGUUUAUAUCUCUGUACAAGUUCACACUGACGCUGUGUGAAAGGUUUCUCUUCUUAUUCUGAUGGUGUUGGAGUUAAUGAUGAGCUCAGAGACACAACAACAUCUCAUAACAUCUCACAUCUCACAACAACAUCUCACAACAACAUCUCACAACAACAUCUCACAACAACAUCUCACAACAACAUCUCACAACAACAUCUCACAACACCUCACACCUCUGAGACACAACAACAUCUCACAACAACAUCUCACAACAACAUCUCACAACAACAUCUCACAACACCUCACACCUCUGAGAUCGGCUUUUUAUUAAAUAAUCUGGAACAUCAACAAAGACCAGAAUUUUGUGGACCUUUCUGAAAAGAUUCCUUAUUAAACUUUAAUACUGACUGUAUAAAUAUCACACGGAUCCACAUUACAGGUACAGAGUCACAUGACUUUAUAGUUACAGAGUCACAUGACUUUAUAGGUACAGAGUCACAUGACUUUAUAGUUACAGAGUCACAUGACUUUAUAGUUACAGAGUCACAUGACUUUACAUGUACAGAGUCACAUGACUUUACAGGUACAGAGUCACAUGACUUUACAGGUACAGAGUCACAUGACUUUACAGUUGCAGAGUCACAUGACUUUACAGGUACAGAGUCACAUGACUUUAUAGUUACAGAGUCACAUGACUUUACAGGUACAGAGUCACAUGACUUUAUAGGUACAGAGUCACAUGACUUUAUAGUUACAGAGUCACAUGACUUUACAUGUACAGAGUCACAUGACUUUACAGGUACAGAGUCACAUGACUUUAUAGGUACAGAGUCACAUGACUUUACAGGUACAGAGUCACAUGACUUUAUAGGUACAGAGUCACAUGACUUUACAUGUACAGAGUCACAUGACUUUAUAGUUACAGAGUCACAUGACUUUAGUUACAGAGUCACAUGACUUUAGUUACAGAGU
Molecule: long non-coding RNA, 1140 nt
Organism: Tachysurus fulvidraco (yellow catfish)
Lineage: Eukaryota; Metazoa; Chordata; Actinopteri; Siluriformes; Bagridae
Exons: 2
Source: RefSeq, a predicted model, not a curated record